UACGGAGGGUGCAAGCGUUGUUCGGAAUUAUUGGGCGUAAAGCGCACGUAGGCGGCUUGUUUAGUCAGAGGUGAAAUCCCGGGGCUUAACCCCGGAACUGCCUUUGAUACUGGCAAGCUCGAGUCCGGAAGAGGGUGGCGGAAUACCCAGUGUAGAGGUGAAAUUCGUAGAUAUUGGGUAGAACACCAGUGGCGAAGGCGACUUUCUGGACUGUAACUGACGCUGAGGCGCGAAAGCUGGGGGAGCAAACAGG
RNAcentral lists this ribosomal RNA (253 nucleotides) under uncultured bacterium. Its description in RNAcentral is "partial 16S ribosomal RNA". It matches the Rfam family "Bacterial small subunit ribosomal RNA", at positions 524 to 776 of the family's 1533-position model. The record is from RNAcentral.